UCUUGAGGUGUUUCGUACCGAUUUCUAUUCAAUACGCCAUCUUGUCUACGCGUGCCCCGCCUACUCUAGAGCUCUAGCCUGACUGAUCAUCUAUGGAAGAGGAUCAGUCGUACUUCUUUGUCUUGCAGUAUUUGUAUUCUACAAAGUUAAACGAAGCUCCUGAAGUGGCUACUCAGGAAAUGUGGCCACUAAGAACUCUGAAGACAAUGAGUUGUAGCAUCCUUCGGCCAUGUGCCAAGUAGCCUACUUUACCUUAGUCGUCUCCUGCUAAUUGAGAAAGGAGUGACGGAGAACGGGCUGCUAUGACGGUGCCCCCGAAUCAACUACCCUUCCGCUUAACAAUACAGCAGCCCCUCCCAGACACCGGGAAUGGUUCAUAUCCUUUCAAAGGAAGCUCUAUUACGUGAUGAUAUGGAACCUCACAAUGAAGAAUGUAUUGGUUCACUCCCAUUUGGAAGCUUGUGCAUAAAGAGUGGCCUACCUUCAUUACUUAAUCUAAGCCUGCUUUAUCUCAUUGCUUACAUUCUGAUGUUAAAAUUCCCCCAUAUGUAUGGCAGCUGCUCUUCAGGGCAACCAUGCAUCACAAAGCCAGUUUUACCCCCUCUGAAAUAAAGACAUUUUAAGGAAAUCUUAUCCUUUGAGAUAUAAAAAAAAAACCACUCACAAUAUAUCAUGCAGUUUGAUAUGUCAUACCACCAAAGGUCAACAAUGGUUUCAUAGACCAGGUUGCAGAUGUGUUGAACGUAACCUCGAGUUCAUGAACAAAAUCUGGUUCAAAGAGAAUCAAUGGGCUUUCACUAAGUUUAGCUCUAGUCAUUGGCCUUGGACAAGUCUUAAUUGUAUAAAUAUCAGGUAAAUCUAAAAAGGUUGGUUUUAUAAGGAGACCAUGGAAUUGAUGCAGUAUACUUAUUUUGUAAAGUGUGCUAGUUCUUUGAGGGAUCAAGGACUCUGGCUCAUGAUCCAGCUUCUGAAUAUUUAUUUGCACUUAAAGCCUAUUUGUAUUGUCUUGGAGUUCUACUGUAGAUAAGCCAAUGAAAGAUUUAUUUAAAAAAAGAUGUAAAUACAUUUUGUUUUAAUGAGAAGUUAAAAAGGAAAAAUACAUGCCUGUAAUGUUCCAAUGUCUAUUUUCAGAGAUGAAUCAUGUUUCCGUGACACAUUUUCACUCUAAACUGUUCUGGAUUUGGGUGUAACUGGCUCACAUUGAAUGUGUAAGAUUAAUUCUGCCGACUGAUUUAAGCAGAUUGCGCAAAUGUAUUGGAGAUCUGUUUUUCAACCACUUGUAAUAUAACAUCCACCAUACCUAACAGUUGAAUUACUGCCUUGAGUAAAUUUACAAAGUGACGUUCACAACAGUGCAAGACUAUCUGGGUCGUGGUGUUCUAUAGGCAGGACACCUGCAUCUCUCAGUAAUAUCAGGCUCAACUUAAUGUGUUUUGAAUGUUCAAAGUGCUCUGGAUUCUUCACUAUGCCUUAGCAAUGGAAAAGACCAAACAUUCUGCAGUUGUACCCUUUAUUUAAUUUGUAUUAUCUUGACAGACAUUUUCCACUGCCCUUUUUAUUCAUUUGCUUGGUUGUCUCUUACAGGCUGUCCUGUUUUUUCUUUGUUAAUGAAAAUAACAGAUGUAAUAUGUUGUGUGAGAUCUAAUAGCACUUGUGUGCAUAAACCUAGUGGUUGCUUCAUAUGAAACCAGGUUCUUAUUUAUUAUGCUAAGAAGUUUAGAAAGUUGCAAAUAAAAGUGUAAUGAAGAAUAUUUUUAGAGUUGGAUGUCUAUUGUAUAGCCUACAGUAAAUUUGAAUUAGCUUUAUUCUGGUCAAUGUACCCUACUAAGCAGAGCGGUGUUCAACAUAACCAAACAAGACAGCCACAUUUUUAAUGCUUUUUACUUGCUAUGUUUUCAAAAUGGAAUGCAAAUCAUGUUCCAGAAUGUCAUCUUUCAUUUGAUCUCUGAAACCAUUAUUUCCAACAGAGGAGCACAUUGAAUUAACAAAAUGAAGUAUUCAUGUGUUUUGAAGUAUACUGUAGUGGCUCUAUUCAAUCUGUAUCGCUGAAGCGUUACAUAUUGCGCAAUAUAAAUGUAAAGGUAAUUUCCGAUUGGUCAACAUGCAGCGUUUACUGUUAAUGCAGUCUCUGCUAAAGCUGGAACAAUGUCUGUACUUGUGUCUUUGGUUUCAGUGUGUCUGUAACCUGUUAAAUUCAGUGUGGAACCACUUUAAACUGGUAUGUUGUGGUCAGCCAGUUAUGAAACAUUUUUUGCACUUGUUUGAUUAACUUAAUGUACCAAUCAAUUAAACAGCAAUCAUUUUAACAUGAA
This is a long non-coding RNA of Coregonus clupeaformis (lake whitefish), 2312 nucleotides long. RefSeq lists it as uncharacterized. The record is from RefSeq and is a predicted model, not a curated record. The transcript has 4 exons. Lineage: Eukaryota; Metazoa; Chordata; Actinopteri; Salmoniformes; Salmonidae.